This 254-nucleotide ribosomal RNA is filed under the name uncultured bacterium. RNAcentral describes it as "partial 16S ribosomal RNA". It matches the Rfam family "Bacterial small subunit ribosomal RNA", at positions 524 to 776 of the family's 1533-position model. The record is from RNAcentral.
GACGAACCGUGCGAACGUUAUUCGGAAUCACUGGGCUUAAAGCGCGUGUAGGCGGGACGGCACGUCUGUCGCUGAAAUCCCCCGGCUUAACCGGGGAACUGGCGUAGAUACGACCGUCCUGGAGGGGCGUAGGGGGACCUGGAACUUCCGGUGGAGCGGUGGAAUGCGUUGAGAUCGGAAGGAACGCCCGUGGCGAAAGCGAGGUCCUGGACCCUUUCUGACGCUGAGACGCGAAAGCCAGGGGAGCGAACGGG